UACGAAGGGGGCGAGCGUUGUUCGGAAUUACUGGGCGUAAAGGGCGCGCAGGCGGUCUUCCAAGUCGGGCGUGAAAUUCCUGGGCUCAACCUGGGGGCUGCGUUUGAUACGUGCGGACUUGAGUGCGGAAGAGGGUCGUGGAAUUCCCAGUGUAGAGGUGAAAUUCGUAGAUAUUGGGAAGAACACCGGUGGCGAAGGCGGCGACCUGGUCCGAUACUGACGCUGAGGCGCGAAAGCGUGGGGAGCAAACAGG
Molecule: ribosomal RNA, 253 nt
Filed under: uncultured bacterium
Lineage: Bacteria
Description: partial 16S ribosomal RNA
Rfam family: Bacterial small subunit ribosomal RNA
Source: RNAcentral